AUACGGAAGGUGCAAGCGUUAAUCGGAAUCACUGGGCGUAAAGCGCUCGUAGGUGGCUUUGUAAGUCAGGUGUGAAAGCCCACGGCUCAACCGUGGAAUUGCACUUGAUACUGCAUUGCUUGAGUUCGGGAGAGGGUAGUGGAAUUCCAGGUGUAGGAGUGAAAUCCGUAGAGAUCUGGAGGAACACCAGUGGCGAAGGCGACUACCUGGAACGGACCUGACGGUGAGUAACGAAAGCCAGGGGCGC
Molecule: ribosomal RNA, 247 nt
Filed under: uncultured bacterium
Lineage: Bacteria
Description: partial 16S ribosomal RNA
Rfam family: Bacterial small subunit ribosomal RNA
Source: RNAcentral